This 427-nucleotide ribosomal RNA is filed under the name uncultured bacterium. RNAcentral's name for it is "partial 16S ribosomal RNA". It matches the Rfam family "Bacterial small subunit ribosomal RNA", at positions 354 to 796 of the family's 1533-position model. The record is from RNAcentral.
GUGGGGAAUCUUCCGCAAUGGACGAAAGCCUGAUGGAGCAACGCCGCGUGAAGGAUGAAGGUCUUCGGAUUGUAAACUUCUUUUAUGAGUGAAGAAUAUGACGGUAACUCAUGAAUAAGCACCGGCUAACUACGUGCCAGCAGCCGCGGUCAUACGUAGGGUGCAAGCAUUAUCCGGAGUGACUGGGCGUAAAGAGUUGCGUAGGCGGUUAUGUAAGCGAAUAGUGAAACCUGGUGGCUCAACCACACAGACUAUUAUUCGAACUGCAUAACUCGAGAAUGGUAGAGGUAACUGGAAUUUCUUGUGUAGGAGUGAAAUCCGUAGAUAUAAGAAGGAACACCAAUGGCGUAGGCAGGUUACUGGGCCAUUUCUGACGCUAAGGCACGAAAGCGUGGGGAGCGAACCGGAUUAGAUACCCGAGUAGUCC